AUGAAGAAAAGGAAAGCAUCAAUGACUGCAGAGUCCUCAGCUCCUAAGAAAGUGAGGACUUUGACGAGCUCUUUCAAGAACCCAAUUGAUGUUGUUCCCAUUUCAAUAGUGCCAUCAAAGGAAAUUUUUCCUUUUGGUGAAGAAUAUGUCAUAUCAGAUGACACAGAUGAAGAGAAUCCUUCUGUUUCUUCUUUAGAGCAGUUCGAUGAAGAAAUUGAAGUGGAAGAUAUCCCUUCAACCCCACUGGUAUCAUCUCCCAUGCCUCAGUUCACAGCUGAAGAGGCAGGCGUUGAGGAAAUGGGAGUAGACGAGGAUUUGGACAUUGGUUCUACAACACCAGUUCUGAAUGAUGACUAUUGGGAAAGACUUCAUCCCAAUUCGCUAUUGACCACUCCUCUGCAUCAAAUUCCUCAGUCCCCUGUGCAAACUGAAGAAAUUCAAAUGGGACCCGAAGGACCUCAAACAUCACUUCUUUCCAUUCCUGAAGAAGCUCCACCUGCAACAGCUGAAGAAAUGGAGAAACCAACCACUGCUGAAGAAUCUGAAGCUUCAAUUCCUCAGGUAGCAGCUCCAGAGAUUUUGAGGCAAGAGGUCGUGAAGUCCUCCACUGCUAAUCUACAGCCCAAGCAGCAAAAUCCUUGUGCUAAAAGGCCAAAGUACAAAGCUGAUAAGUUCUUCGCUAAGCACCAUUUCUUCACGGACUUCAAUCCUUAUGACUCAGCAAGAAUUUGA
Molecule: ribosomal RNA, 732 nt
Filed under: Triticum aestivum (bread wheat)
Lineage: Eukaryota; Viridiplantae; Streptophyta; Magnoliopsida; Poales; Poaceae
Description: partial small subunit ribosomal RNA
Source: RNAcentral